AUUGAACGCUGGCGGCAGGCCUAACACAUGCAAGUCGAACGAGUGGCGGACGGGUGAGUAAUGUCUGGGAAACUGCCUGAUGGAGGGGGAUAACUACCGGAAACGGUAGCUAAUACCGCAUACCAUCGGAUGUGCCCAGAUGGGAUAAGCUAGUAGGUGGGGUAAAGGCUCACCUAGGCGACGAUCCCUAGCUGGUCUGAGAGGAUGACCAGCCACACUGGAACUUAGACACGGUCCAGCCUCCUACGGGAGACAGCAGUGGUGAAUAUUGCACAGUAGGCGCAAGCCUGAUGCAGCCAUCCCGCUUGUAUGAAGAAGGCCUUCGGGUUGUAAAGUACUUUCAGCGGGGAGGCGUUACCCGCAGAAGAAGCGCCGGCUAACUCCGUGCCAGCAGCCGCGGUGAUAC
This 406-nucleotide ribosomal RNA is filed under the name uncultured bacterium. Its description in RNAcentral is "partial 16S ribosomal RNA". It matches the Rfam family "Bacterial small subunit ribosomal RNA", at positions 30 to 526 of the family's 1533-position model. The record is from RNAcentral.